CCUCUUGCACACUUCACACCAUUGGACAAAUUCAAAGUUUACUUCAGCUAAAAUCUUCUUUCUUUCGUUCACACAAAUUAUCCUUGCAAGAAAAAGAACUCAAGCUUAAGAGAUUACAACAUCCAAAACUAUUCAAGGCUUUGUGACCAGGGGGAUUAGCGCUGCUUUCCCAAGACAGGUUUAUAAGUGAUUAUGAUCUUCAGGCUUUGCCUAACCAGGUUGGCUGGCCGGUGCUGACGGGACGGAGCUGAGGCUAGGGUUAAAUUCCUAUUUUAGACUUCCGCUGUAGCAAUUACUCAUAUCAGUCUUUUGUUUUUCCAACUUAAGAUCUUCAUGUUAAAUUUCAAAUGAUAUACCUGACCGAGCUUAGACUAUUCACUACUAAAUUUAUGCCAAUGAAUGUCGGUUGUCAGAAGCAUGAAACAAAACUUGUGAUCCAAAGGGGCAUAGCCCGACUCUCUAUCUUAUUAUUCGGGUUUUAACAAGGUUGUUCCUUGUUUAUUUCUAUGAAUUAGUUGCACCUCGAUUAUAUUUAUUCAUUCAAGAAUUGGGGUGUGACA
Molecule: long non-coding RNA, 560 nt
Organism: Salvia miltiorrhiza (redroot sage)
Lineage: Eukaryota; Viridiplantae; Streptophyta; Magnoliopsida; Lamiales; Lamiaceae
Exons: 3
Source: RefSeq, a predicted model, not a curated record